RNAcentral lists this ribosomal RNA (503 nucleotides) under uncultured bacterium. Its description in RNAcentral is "partial 16S ribosomal RNA". It matches the Rfam family "Bacterial small subunit ribosomal RNA", at positions 30 to 523 of the family's 1533-position model. The record is from RNAcentral.
AUUGAACGCUGGCGGCAGGCUUAACACAUGCAAGUCGAGCGGGGUGAUGGUGCUUGCACUAUCACUUAGCGGCGGACGGGUGAGUAAUGCUUAGGAAUCUGCCUAUUAGUGGGGGACAACAUCUCGAAAGGGAUGCUAAUACCGCAUACGUCCUACGGGAGAAAGCAGGGGAUCACUUGUGACCUUGCGCUAAUAGAUGAGCCUAAGUCGGAUUAACUAGUUGGUGGGGUAAAGGCCUACCAAGGCGACGAUCUGUAGCGGGUCUGAGAGGAUGAUCCGCCACCCUGGGACUGAGACACGGCCCAGACUCCUACGGGAGGCAGCAGUGGGGAAUAUGGGACAAUGGGGGGAACCCUGAUCCAGCCAUGCCGCGUGUGUGAAGAAGGCCUUAUGGUUGUAAAGCACUUUAAGCGAGGAGGAGGCUCUUUUGGUUAAUACCCAAGAUGAGUGGACGUUACUCGCAGAAUAAGCACCGGCUAACUCUGUGCCAGCCGCCGCCGUAA